RNAcentral lists this ribosomal RNA (500 nucleotides) under Talaromyces sp. RNAcentral describes it as "eukaryotic LSU rRNA". The stretch from base 138 to 291 matches the Rfam family "5.8S ribosomal RNA". The record is from RNAcentral. Lineage: Eukaryota; Fungi; Ascomycota; Eurotiomycetes; Eurotiales; Trichocomaceae.
CUAUACACCUGUUGCUUUGGCGGGCCCACCGGGGCCACCUGGUCGCCGGGGGACGUUCGUCCCCGGGCCCGCGCCCGCCGAAGCGCUCUGUGAACCCUGAUGAAGAUGGGCUGUCUGAGUACUAUGAAAAUUGUCAAAACUUUCAACAAUGGAUCUCUUGGUUCCGGCAUCGAUGAAGAACGCAGCGAAAUGCGAUAAGUAAUGUGAAUUGCAGAAUUCCGUGAAUCAUCGAAUCUUUGAACGCACAUUGCGCCCCCUGGCAUUCCGGGGGGCAUGCCUGUCCGAGCGUCAUUUCUGCCCUCAAGCACGGCUUGUGUGUUGGGUGCGGUCCCCCCGGGGGCCUGCCCGAAAGGCAGCGGCGACGUCCGUCUGGUCCUCGAGCGUAUGGGGCUUUGUCACUCGCUCGGGAAGGACUGGCGGGGGUUGGUCACCACCACAAAAUUUUACCACGGUUGACCUCGGAUCAGGUAGGAGUUACCCGCUGAACUUAAGCAUAUCAA